GUGCUCAGUUUGGGAGCACAUGUACUAAAACUGAAACUAUACAGAGAAGAUUAGCAUGGCCCCCGUGCAAGGAUGACACACGAAUUUGUGAAGAGUUCCAUAUUUUU
Small nuclear RNA from Vicugna pacos (alpaca), 107 nucleotides. The record is from Ensembl. Lineage: Eukaryota; Metazoa; Chordata; Mammalia; Artiodactyla; Camelidae.